CCUACGGGGCGCAGCAGUGAGGAAUAUUGGUCAAUGGGCGGGAGCCUGAACCAGCCAAGUCGCGUGAAGGAAGAAGGUACUUAGUAUUGUAAACUUCUUUUGUCGGGGAACAAAGGCGGAGACGCGUCUCCGGAUGAGUGUACCCGAAGAAAAAGCCCCGGCUAACUACGUGCCAGCAGCCGCGGUAAUACGUAGGGGGCAAGCGUUAUCCGGAUUUACUGGGUGUAAAGGGAGCGUAGACGGCAUAGCAAGUCUGAUGUGAAAGAUCGGGGCUCAACCCCGGGCCUGCAUUGGAAACUGUUAAG
RNAcentral lists this ribosomal RNA (305 nucleotides) under uncultured bacterium. RNAcentral's name for it is "bacterial SSU rRNA". It matches the Rfam family "Bacterial small subunit ribosomal RNA", at positions 338 to 640 of the family's 1533-position model. The record is from RNAcentral.